Molecule: ribosomal RNA, 429 nt
Filed under: Chloroflexota bacterium
Lineage: Bacteria; Bacillati; Chloroflexota
Description: Chloroflexi bacterium partial 16S ribosomal RNA
Rfam family: Bacterial small subunit ribosomal RNA
Source: RNAcentral
UGGGGAAUUUUGCACAAUGGGCGCAAGCCUGAUGCAGCCAUGCCGCGUGUGUGAAGAAGGCCUUCGGGUUGUAAAGCACUUUCAGCGGGGAGGAAGGCGAUAAGGUUAAUAACCUUGUCGAUUGACGUUACCCGCAGAAGAAGCACCGGCUAACUCCGUGCCAGCAGCCGCGGUAAUACGGAGGGUGCAAGCGUUAAUCGGAAUUACUGGGCGUAAAGCGCACGCAGGCGGUAUGUCAAGUCGGAUGUGAAAUCCCCGGGCUCAACCUGGGAACUGCAUUCGAAACUGGCAGGCUAGAGUCUUGUAGAGGGGGGUAGAAUUCCUGGUGUAGCGGUGAAAUGCGUAGAGAUCUGGAGGAAUACCGGUGGCGAAGGCGGCCCCCUGGACAAAGACUGACGCUCAGGUGCGAAAGCGAGGGGAGCAAACAGG